UCCCUGGUGGUUUAGUGGUUAAGGAUUCAGCAUUGCCAUUGCUGUGGUUUGGAAGAUCACUGACACAGCUGGGGUUCGAUUCCUGGCCUGGGAA
RNAcentral lists this transfer RNA (94 nucleotides) under Sus scrofa (pig). It matches the Rfam family "tRNA". Rfam says of the family: Transfer RNA (tRNA) molecules are approximately 80 nucleotides in length. Their secondary structure includes four short double-helical elements and three loops (D, anti-codon, and T loops). Further hydrogen bonds mediate the characteristic L-shaped molecular structure. tRNAs have two regions of fundamental functional importance: the anti-codon, which is responsible for specific mRNA codon recognition, and the 3' end, to which the tRNAs corresponding amino acid is attached (by aminoacyl-tRNA synthetases). tRNAs cope with the degeneracy of the genetic code in two manners: having more than one tRNA (with a specific anti-codon) for a particular amino acid; and 'wobble' base-pairing, i.e. permitting non-standard base-pairing at the 3rd anti-codon position. The record is from Rfam by way of RNAcentral. Lineage: Eukaryota; Metazoa; Chordata; Mammalia; Artiodactyla; Suidae.